AUAAAGACUAUGACAGGGAAUAUUAGAUGUGUUAAUUAUUUUUAAGAGAGUGGGAUUUGGUGAAAACCCAUAAAUAUUUCAUAUUAAACUCGCCCUUGAGUUGCAGGCUGAAUUAGUAGUAAGCUGAGCCGAUGUGAAUCGUUAUUGAAUUAAGUAAUAAAUUUGGGUGGUACCGCGAACAGAUUUCUCGCCUCAAGG
RNAcentral lists this non-coding RNA (198 nucleotides) under Clostridium tyrobutyricum. RNAcentral describes it as "T-box sequence". It matches the Rfam family "T-box leader". From Rfam's summary of the family: Uncharged tRNA acts as the effector for transcription antitermination of genes in the T-box leader family. T-boxes are found upstream of many aminoacyl-tRNA synthetase genes and some amino acid biosynthetic genes usually in Gram-positive bacteria. The anticodon of a specific tRNA base pairs to a specifier sequence within the T-box motif, and the NCCA acceptor tail of the tRNA base pairs to a conserved bulge in the T-box antiterminator hairpin. Lineage: Bacteria; Bacillati; Bacillota; Clostridia; Eubacteriales; Clostridiaceae. The record is from RNAcentral.